This is a long non-coding RNA of Equus asinus (donkey), 1634 nucleotides long. Lineage: Eukaryota; Metazoa; Chordata; Mammalia; Perissodactyla; Equidae. The record is from Ensembl.
CGCGUCUUUAGUGAGCCUGGUGGAAAUGCUGAGGUGAAAUGAGAGAGGAAGGGAGGCUAACCUGUCGGACAUACCCAGGAAUCAGGGGCACCGGAAUGAGAGACAUAAAGUCGUCACCGCAUAAGCAUCAGCGUUACCAGCAAACUUCAGGUUAGUUCAGAUCACACCCCGCGAGCGCCUGCCUGCUCUGGGAACCCGACCGGCUGGUGCGAGCUUCUGUCCUCACCACCACUGGCGCCAAACCUAGCCCAUACCAACGGGGAGGCAGGUCCUAACCCUCUUCUAGUCUGGGAUGUUGGGACUUCCCGACGCCCAAGGCUCCUCUUUCAUUAACGCUGUGCGAGGUGGAUUCCAGGCAGGGAAUCGCUUCCGCUGAUUUGCGUUGCAGGUUGGGGGCGCGAAGAAUGAUGUGGAAAAGCCGCCUCUGUAUCCCCUCGCCGUGAUGUUGCUAAGCCUUUGGGCUCAUACUCUGCUUUGAGUUUUAGCCGACUCAGGGGCUAUUUCUUCCUAGAUUUAACCAGCGCAACAGGUUUUCUUUUUCUCCUUACAUUUCGACCUCAGUUGCUCAGUCACAGUGUUUUUGCCAAGUCUUGAAACUGUUUUUGUCUAUCUUGCUUAGAAAAUCUUAAUCUAAUUUUUAAAAGAAGGAGAAAAAGGAAGAGAGAUCAAAGAAAGAAGGAUUUAUUCUAUCAUCUAAACAAAGAAGAAAAGGACGGAGAAGAGGAGUGAAGAGUGAAAUGGUGGGGAGAGGAUGAAGAAAGACUGCAUUUCUACUGACGUAAAAUCAACUCUAAGAAACCUAUGGUUUAAUGGAGUGGAGUCUAUUAAGUCGAGUUUUGGAUCGAACCCUGGUCUCCCGCGUGACAAGCAGAGAUACGCACUACCACACUAACAAGGAAAAGGACAAGAAUGCUGUUCUAAGGAAUCCUCAUAAAGCUACUCAAUGUUGUCCUUAUUCCUUUGCUCCGCAGGCUACGCUUCCCCCAUCAGCCUUACACAACACGAUUCAGCGUCCGGGCCGAACGUGUGCACGUGUAGCCUUGAGUCCACUCCAGUCCCUCCCUCACUUCCGGGAACAGGCAGCGCGGUGGGACUGCGGGAGAUGGCGCUAAGUGAGAGACUUAAAAGACAAAAGGGAAAGAUAAAAAGUGCCCUCUCUAGUUUACUUUGUUGAUGCACUGGUUUCUGUCUUCACUCACAAUCUUUAUCUGAAUCCUAGCGAACACAGCAGGGAGUCGUUAAACCCUAAAAGAGGCGUAAGUUGAUUCUACUGAGGGUUUAAGAAGCAGGGUUUCGAAGGCAGGCAAUGCGGAGGCGAAGGAAAAGAAGACUGUAGGGGAACCUAAGAAGGAAAGAAAAGUCUGUUCCCUGCGUGUCACGCAGAAGCCACAUGAUGAGUUUGCUUGGAACAGAGAAAAAGCACCCCGUAGUCGGCAGGAUUCGAACCUGCGCGGGGAAACCCCAAUGGAUUUCUAGUCCAUCGCCUUAACCACUCGGCCACGACUACCUGAACAACUGGCUCCCUAUGUCAAUCCUUAAAAAGAAAUUCCUUCAGAAUUCAGACCUACCACAAGAGCGAAAGGGAAAACAAGUCAGGAUAAAAAUGGCCCCUGGCACAAGAAAACAUACUCUAU